UCUCCGUAGGUGAACCUGCGGAGGGAUCAUUACAACGUAUCCACGUAUAAACCUUUGUGAACGUGUUUGUUCUAAACACAUGUUUUUGUGGCGGAGAGAGUUCGAUGUCACAGUCUCUCUCUCUUUUGUCACACUAACACCACUUUUACUAUUAACGUUUGUAAAUUUAUGUUCAUGCUAUUAUUUUUCAACUUAACCGUUGAAAUCUAGAACAAUAUAAAAUUUGUUUAAGCACAACUCUUAGCAACGGAUAUCUUGGCUCUU
This 264-nucleotide unclassified non-coding RNA is filed under the name plant metagenome. RNAcentral's name for it is "partial contains small subunit ribosomal RNA, internal transcribed spacer 1, and 5.8S ribosomal RNA". The record is from RNAcentral.